This is a long non-coding RNA of Dinoponera quadriceps, 283 nucleotides long. RefSeq lists it as uncharacterized. The record is from RefSeq and is a predicted model, not a curated record. NCBI's taxonomy places the organism in Eukaryota, Metazoa, Arthropoda, Insecta, Hymenoptera, Formicidae. The transcript has 3 exons.
CCAAGAUCGAGACAGUGAUCGAGUCACAGAGCGCCCAUAUCGACAUCAUAAAGAUCGCAUCAACCGUGCAGUGUGCCGACUCUCCUUUAAGACAUGGAAAAUCAAAUUAGCAAACUGAGAGGUACAAUUGGUAUCUGAAGAAUUAUUUAAGGAAGAAGAAGACAUAUUUUACGCAACUGGAAUAGCAGAAUAAUGAACAAUGUGAACCCCGGGAUCGUAUCAACAGUUGAUGCAGCGCCCUCGAAAGAACAGCUGUUUUUGCUGUUUAAUAACUAUAAGUUGG